AAUAUUGGACAAUGGGGGCAACCCUGAUCCAGCCAUGCCGCGUGUGUGAAGAAGGUCUUCGGAUUGUAAAGCACUUUAAGUUGGGAGGAAGGGCUUUAGGCUAAUACCCUGAAGUUUUGACGUUACCAACAGAAUAAGCACCGGCUAACUCUGUGCCAGCAGCCGCGGUAAUACAGAGGGUGCAAGCGUUAAUCGGAAUUACUGGGCGUAAAGCGGGCGUUAGUUGUUCAGUAAGAUUGGUUUGAAAUCCCCGGGCUUAAACUUGGAACUGCCUUCAUAACUGCCGGACCAGAGUAAGGUAGAGGGUAGUGGAAUUUCCUGUGUAGCGGUGGAAUGCGUAGAUAUAGGAAGGAACACCAGUGGCGAAGGCGACUUCCUGGACUGAUACUGACACUGAGGUGCGAAAGCGUGGGGAGCAAACA
RNAcentral lists this ribosomal RNA (422 nucleotides) under uncultured bacterium. RNAcentral's name for it is "partial 16S ribosomal RNA". It matches the Rfam family "Bacterial small subunit ribosomal RNA", at positions 360 to 774 of the family's 1533-position model. The record is from RNAcentral.